UGGUUUUUGGACAGGUAAAAUGGGGGAA
This 28-nucleotide non-coding RNA is filed under the name Homo sapiens (human). Lineage: Eukaryota; Metazoa; Chordata; Mammalia; Primates; Hominidae. The record is from RNAcentral.